This 274-nucleotide long non-coding RNA is filed under the name Lathyrus oleraceus (garden pea). Its description in RNAcentral is "Pisum sativum (pea) long non-coding RNA (PSAT_LNC016805)". The record is from RNAcentral. Lineage: Eukaryota; Viridiplantae; Streptophyta; Magnoliopsida; Fabales; Fabaceae.
CCUUUUGAGCCUUAGUAUCAGGAUCUAUAUCAAUUUUGAACUAUGUGAUUUUUCCUUUGGAUGCAAAGAGUAGCUUAUCAUUGAUUUUUUAUUGGAUUCUGAGAUUUUUUCUUGAACCCUCAACCAUAAAUUGUGGUUUGAAUUUUUACCGUUGCCUUAAAAAGUUUGGAAGCAUUCACAUUACAAUGUUUGGUUGUAUUAAAGUUGGGGAGAAAAGGUUGGUUAAAAAGAGGUUGAGAAAGAAAAAGAAAAAAAUUUGGAAAAAGAAAGAGAA